Molecule: non-coding RNA, 144 nt
Organism: Morus notabilis
Lineage: Eukaryota; Viridiplantae; Streptophyta; Magnoliopsida; Rosales; Moraceae
Source: Rfam
GUGAGCCGUGGGAUGGGAAACCUUCCCGCACGGUUCGGAGAGCACUGAAUUAGAAUGAGAGGUUCACCACCACAUCAUUGCAUGCAAGGGGAGCUCGCUCGAUUCCCAAAUUGGUCCGACUCGUAAUUCACUUCUGCUUUCUCU